Drosophila yakuba is the source of this 4011-nucleotide long non-coding RNA. RefSeq lists it as uncharacterized. NCBI's taxonomy places the organism in Eukaryota, Metazoa, Arthropoda, Insecta, Diptera, Drosophilidae. The record is from RefSeq and is a predicted model, not a curated record. The transcript has 2 exons.
GGCAGAGAGAAAAAAAUGAAAACACUCGCACACAGGCACAGCGUCCUCAGUUUCAUGAAAGGCAAAAAGGAAUAUGAACAUGGGAAUACAUACACACACACACACACACACACACACACACACAUGAACGCAGAGCAAGAGCAGCGACUGCGGCAGAGGGCGCUCUGCUUCUUCCCUUCGUCCUGCGGCAUUUGUUGUUGUUGUGUGUGUGUCACGGCAGGCCAAAAAGGAAACGCAGGCUGCUGGGACAGCUGCUGCUCAGCUCCCGCUGGCAGCGAAACGGAACCGGUGUAUUCAGCUCUCUUCAAUUCCAAAAAAAAAAUAUAUAUAUAUACAAAAAAGGAACAAAAAUGAAAAGGAUACCAUCUUCAACAACUUGAAGUUUGCAUACUCUUGGUAGCAGAACUAAAUCUUGCUUUCAAGUAGGUUAUCUCUCUUAAAUCGAAGCGUUCAUAUUACGUAUUAUAUACAAAUCUUUAUACUAUAUUCAGACUAUCGAAAGUCAUGUCUAACUAUCCGUUCAACUUAAUUCCCAACUUGAUUGCUGUACAAAUAGCUCAUAAAAACUAUAGCACCAUCCGCAGCAGUAUAGAAAGUUGAAUUCUUUUUUCAAAACGCAUGCGCAGAUGGGAAAAAAUAAAUAAAGCAAAAGCAAAUGUUAUGAGCAUAAUCCAACAACACGCCAUAACUAUGUAAGUACAUACAUAUGUGUAUAUUGGCAAGUUUUCGAGUGGAAAUAAGGGCAACCCAUUAAACAACAAAUCGCCUACGAUUGAUAAGCAAGAACAGAAGUGAAAGAAGUGGGAUCGAAUCAUAUAUGCAGCGUCCACUAGAUGCAGAAUAGUGUUCCAUUAAAGGAUUUCAGCGAGCUUAGUAAUGCGCUUAGGAGCUGCCAGCACAGAAGGAUGAAGAUAGAGAGUGUCUUUCGGAAAGAAGGACUGCAAAUGGCAAUCAAAAUUCACUUACGACAGCCGCAAUUAAAAAACUUUUACGUUCUCAUGCACACACGGAAACACCAAGCAAACCAAAGGAGGAGGAAACGUACGUAAUUGAAGUACCACGCUCACCGUACGGAUAUCAGUUACAUAUAAGUUUAGCUACUGCACCAUUUCUGUUGGUGUCACGGCGAAAAAACCAUCGGGGGAAUGUUGAGGAUUCUAUGUAGGAGCGUAGUCGAGGAUGCGGCAAACAAGUCGGAAGGAAGCAUCAAACUACUAAUUUUAUGCCGAGCACAGAAAGCGAAGAAGGAACCGGAUAUUGACGAAAUUCCACGGCUGCCGCUCUCCGUUUGCCCCACAAAAGUUCCCUCUACGAACUUAUUAAUCAAAUGAUCAAAGGGAGCCCAGAGCCAACUCAAACCCAAGCGACAAAUCGCGUUGGCUGGCCAAAAAAAAAAUAAAAAACUAUCAGGAAACCAGAUGUCGCUGCCAGGACUCGUCGUUUGCUUCAGCUGCCGCAAUUCAAGGAAUGCCUACGAAAAGGGUGCCCUUUCUUGCCAUUUUCUGGAAGGUAUUCAAGGUUGUGCUAGGCAAUCGCAUUUAAUGUCAUUAUCUUUUAAAUUAAAUUAUGAAGGAACGGGUCUGGAAUUUAGAGCUCCAAUUUAGUAGCAUUAAAGGCACCAACAGAGAGCGUGAGAUACUGAGUUACUACUAUACCAUGUGCACAUAACAGUGAGAUCGAAACAUUAUAUAUUAUGAAGUCAUAUAUAGUUCUACAGAAAUACAUUGAAAUCGAUUAGAAAGAAGCACCCUGUAUCCAAGUAUACGUGUGUAGGUAGCACCUGUUUGGCAUUCAUUAAGACGAACAGCAAGCAACAAAUGUAAGCCGCAGGCAGCCAGACGGCAAAGCAGGCAAGCGGAGACUUGAACAAAAGCCAAUGGCACGCUCAAUCCUCAAAUGCAUUUCAGGGCAUUUCGGAUUUACGCACACACGCAUACACACAAUGAAUGACGACGGCUGCAGGAUCAGCCUGACUGGCCUGCCUGGUGGAGUCGAAGUAGAAGCAGCUGUCGCUCAUUAUUGUGAGACCCUGACAGAUGCCUCUUCUCUCCUGCCUCCUUGGCACAGGACAACAUUUUAAUGGGCAGCAUGGGCGACAUGAAACACGAAUAAGUUGUCUAUGAACCGUGAGCCUAUAUCGGCAACACAUGUCAUGUCCCAGGAAUGCGACAAUUUUGGAUCUAGUUUUGGGGGGAAAAUGUUUUAAAAAUAAUCUAAUCCCAGGCAGCUAAGUUGAGAAACGAACUGAAUAGAUAGAUAGAACGAUAACUUAGCCUAAGGAAGUAAUUAUGAUAACCCCAAGCGAGGAGAUGAGCAGCGGAAAACCGGCUGCGUCAGAAACUCCGAGCGGGAAACGGCAGAAGGAUAAAGCCAAAUGGAAAGGAAACAGCUGCUUGCAGGGCCAGUUGUGGCCAUUGCCCAUGUUGUUCUUGCCGCAACGAAGAAGGCAGUAAAGUAACGAGGACGACAUCCUUUUUUUCAGUUAAAACGCAACCAAAAGGGGACCAAAUACAAAAAAUAAAAAAAAAUGAAGGUACAAAUGCAAAGAAGACAGGAAAACACAUGCUAGUCGGUGAGGCACAAACUAGGGAUUCAGGGAUUCUUCCCAUUCUGAUCAUCUGCCGUGACCAUCAAAGCGACGGACGGCAGCUGCAAGGAUGCUGCUGCUGCAAAGGAGCCGCGAGUCUCGUCUAAGAAAUUCAUAAUAACAAUACAGCAACUUAGGCAACAGAACGAAAAGAGGCCACGAUGCUGUAGGAAUAUACAGACGUAAGCUUUUUGUUUGCCGCCGCGGACUUGUUGACCUCCAUAAAAAACAGCGCAGCAGCGCAAAAAUAUGAAUAUGCAAGAGCAUAGAAGAGAACCGAAAGUAGGAGGCACUUUUAAUUCAAGGCUCUUGGGCUUGGGCAGGACAGUGUUCCAAUUAAAAUGCAGCCCCUCCCGUCGUCGCUAAUUAAUGAGCCAAGCCAAAUUGCGGAUGGCAAAAAAAAAAAGUGCGAUGCAGGUGCGAGGAAACGCGAGAGUUCGCCAAUUGAUUCACAUCACACUCCGUCGCAGCUCACACCUCGGAAUCGACCCCAAUCCUGCACAGCGGGCCUUACAUUGCGAAUUGCGCAAUUGAAAAGCGUUUGGCGUGGCCGGGAACCAUUUUCAACCAUUCACCAUCCACCUGCCCUUCGCAACUGCCGUUUGGUAUUUGCCAGUGAAGAGGUGGCUGCCAAAGUGACAAGUGCGUUAUGAAAGCCUUGGCACAGACGUCAGCAACAGAUUCCCCAACUGAACGCCAUUCCAAACCGUACACACUCAUUGAUGGAAAUGCAUUCUACUGUCGUUGCCACGGAGCAAGGACCUGUGCGUACGGAGCCCGUCGGAACUGGAUGCCAGGACGCAGCAGCAUAACUCGCAUAAAGUUUUCGAUUUAACCAAGCGCAAAGUUAUGUUGACGGGUUUCGGGUUCACGUGACUGCCGCAAACGUUUGGGAUCGUCAAAAACAUGUCACAAAUUGCCACUAACAAUGCGGGCCACCUCACGUCCUGACCUGCAUCUCCUUCUGCACUCAUGUCCUUCCUGCCUCGUUCCCACUAUUCGCUCGUAAUAGGCCCAAUUAAGUUAGCCUUCAUUUGUCAUGGCUGGCUGGCGAUGUCAGUUGACCGCAGGACACUGGCAUUAUAUGGCAUGGAGAGCCGUGUGAACGCCGCACAUGCGAGGGCACAACUGGGAAUUACAUCAGAAAUAGCGGAAAUACUUGAGCUAAAUAUGUAAUCAGCAAGAGCCUUGGGAUCGGGCACAUCAAUAUGUUACAGGUCGUGUAAUAGAAGUCCCUUUUCCCUAGUCUGUCCAUUGGCUGGCUGUCGUUUUCCCACAACAAAGUUUACCUCACUCAGACCGCUAUGUAAUAGCUGGCUCGUAUGAAAAUUAUACGAUCGAUAAAAAUUGUAACAUUAUAAUUAUACAGCCUUUAUGGGUGAAAAGAACUAUUAAAUACAAACUGUAUUGUCAACUGCAGCUAA